Molecule: long non-coding RNA, 2028 nt
Filed under: Equus caballus (horse)
Lineage: Eukaryota; Metazoa; Chordata; Mammalia; Perissodactyla; Equidae
Description: lncRNA (ENSECAG00000044319.1)
Source: RNAcentral
AAGCAGAGGAGGCCCGGGCAGUGCCAGGAGUCAAGGGCACCCCAGAGGAGGAGGUGGAGGAAGAAAUGCCUGCUACUGAAACAUGGAGUCCUCCCCAGAGUCCUCACAGCUCCUCCUCAAUGCCGUGGAGAACAUCAGCACAAAGAGAAGUCCUGGGCCUGGCCAACCAUCAAGAUGAGGACACUAAGGGAGGUGUGGAGGCACUGCCCAUGGCGAUACACGGACUCUACACCCCACAACCCUGCCCCUGCCGUUAUCCCUGGGAGACCCCGGGCAGGGUUCCCGGAUGUGCUGUGUGGGGACUUUCCUCUCAUGAGUCUGAGCCACCUGAGGCUCUGUGUGAGGAGCAGGCUUAGGUCAGGAGAGAGGAGCCCUAGGCUCUGCCAGGCUGCAAGGUGAGGACCCUGAGGGAGGACUGCAGGGAGAGGGCCCAGCGCCGAGUGGGCCAGCAUAACCUGUGCUGUCGGUCCUGGAACACCCCAAGCCCAGGUGCUCUGUGUGACAUCUCCUGCCGAACACUGGGGGUCUGAGGGUCGGGAGGCAGUGCCUGAGGCCCCAACUCAGGUCAGCGGAGGGAGGAGUCAGCGGCCUGGCCGGGUGGAAGGUGAGGGCCCACAGGGAGGAGUGAGGGGAGCUCCUAGCCCAGAUAAAGGUACCCAGUCCCGCCUUGCCCUUGCCGCCAGCCCCGGGGGGGCCAGGCAGGGUGCCCGGAUGUUCCGCUUGUUCUGUUUCCCGAUUUGGAUCUCCGGAGUCUGAGGGGUGGGGCUUCAGCUCAACAGAUGGAGGAGUCCUUGGACUGGCCAAUCAUCAAGGAGAAGACCCUGCGGGAGGCGUGGAGGCACCGCCCACUGCAGAUAGGGGGACCACGCCCCACUGUGCCCCUGCCAUCAUCCCUGGGAGGCCCCGGGCGGGGUUCCCGGAUGUGGCGUGGGGACUCACGUCGGGAGUCUGAGCUACCUGAGGCUCUGUCUGAGGGGCAGCCUUGGGUCAUAAGAGAAGAGCCCUAGGCUCUGCCAGGCUGCAAGGUAAGGACCCUGAGGGAGGAGUGAGAGGAGAGCUCACUGGAGAGAGGGAGCUGUCCACCCCAGCUGUGCCCCUGUUGUCAUCCCCGGAAGCCCCAGACUGGACACGAGGGUUUUUCUGAGGGGGGACUCUGUGGAGGGAGGAGGCCUGGGCCCUGCCCGGCUUCAAGAUGCAGAUCCUGAGGGAGGAGGGAGGGGACCUGCCAAUGGAGACAGCGGGGCCCCUUAGAAUCCCUCGUGUCAGCCCGAUUUGGCGGGCUGCGAGCAGAGGGACGCCUCCUUACGCCCUGCCUUCCGUUUCCGGUUCUCAGGGAGCCGGCGGGGUGGGCCCAGGGAGCAUCGUCAGGUCGGUGGAAGGGAGAGGGUGCCGGCCACGUGGGGAAUCAGUGUGACUACUUUGAGGAUGGAUGGCGGCACCUUCUAGAGAUAGAGGCCCCCAAACCCCACUCUGCCCCCACUGUCGACCGCGGGAGGACUCGGGCAGGGGCGGCCGGAUGCGGUGCUCCCUUGCUUCUUCCAGGAAGCGGUUGGGCUUGUCUCAUGGAAGCGAGGCCUUCGUGUGGGGGGCAAUGGGAAUACCCAGCAGGAGGACAGAAGAUGCCUCCUGCUGCAGAACAGAUGGGGUUCAGUCCCUGCUGUCAGCCCUAGGAGACCCUGGUGGGAGUGGCGGGAUGUGGCCUCUGCUUUUAUCUGGAGGUUUUCAGGGGAGUGAGGUCCUGGGUCUGAAGGGGUGAGGGUGGAUCGGCAGGGGCAGGAGUCCCAGGCCCUACCCAGGGUCAGUUUCAGGACUGAGGGCACCCCCUGCACCAGAACACAUGGGGCCCGAAGGUUCUCUGCCUUUGCUGUCAACACAGGCGUGCCAGGGGCGUGGUUACUGGCCGUGGUCCCCCUCCCGUUCUUCUGGGGGGGGGGUGUCUGGGAGGUGAAGACUUUGGUCUGAGAGGUAGGGCCGGAGUUCAGCAGAGGGAGGAGUACCACAGCCUGCCAGAUGUCAAGAUGAAGACUC